This 53-nucleotide microRNA precursor is filed under the name Podarcis lilfordi (Lilford's wall lizard). Lineage: Eukaryota; Metazoa; Chordata; Lepidosauria; Squamata; Lacertidae. The record is from RNAcentral.
UCUUGAGAUGAUGAUGAUGAUGAUGAUGAUCAUCAUCAUCAUCAUCAUACAUU